GAGACAAAAUUGACUUUUGUGAGACAAAAUUGACUUUUGUUAGACAAAAUUGACAAAAUUGAAUUUUGUCUCACAAAAGUCAAUUUUGUCUCACAAAAAUU
RNAcentral lists this small RNA (101 nucleotides) under Mytilus galloprovincialis (Mediterranean mussel). Lineage: Eukaryota; Metazoa; Mollusca; Bivalvia; Mytilida; Mytilidae. The record is from RNAcentral.